Molecule: long non-coding RNA, 907 nt
Filed under: Rattus norvegicus (Norway rat)
Lineage: Eukaryota; Metazoa; Chordata; Mammalia; Rodentia; Muridae
Source: RNAcentral
GUAAAGUGCCAUGGUCACCUCUUAAUGACUUAACUGUGUGCCACUGUGUGGCGAGAGGGCUGGGAGGUGUUGGAGACAGUGCAGGUCAGUUCCCUAACUGUGUGUCUUACAUCACUGCAGAGGAGGCCACUGGGGAGGAAGAAUGGAAAUCGGUGCCUAAGAAGCAGCAACUGCUGGACAGCGACGAAGAGGACACCGACGACGAGAGGGGAGGGCAAGGUAGGAAGGACUCCGUCUUCAGUGGAGACCCUGGCAUUUGUCUCAUCCUUUUCCGUACUUAAGCUUCCCAUUUCUGUCUCCUACCUGUCUGUCAUUCCCAUAGCAGCAGUGUCGGGAACCCUGAGAAUCCACAAGAAGAAACGGUUUCUGGUUGAGGAUGAAGAUGAGGAUUACUGAAGCCUUUGACAGAUGCCAGUUGGAAGGCACAGAAGCUAUUUCACCUUGCCUGCAUUCAAAGCAAUCUCCUCUAGGAGUUUUAGGCACCAGUGAGAAGAGCAGGGAGAUGCUAAGGUGGCCGGGACUCCUCUCUGGGCUGUCUUCACACAGGGAGCUUCAUACCACAUGACACGUGUGUUCAUACCAUCCUCACCAGGUACUGGACUCAUUUUCUCUCAGUGGUUGAACCCAGGACACAUGAUUGUGCCCGUUACUGCAGUUGGGUAGAGUUGGGAUACACUACUCUCAAGCUGACAAGCAUCCUUGAUUUGUGUUUCUUAUUAAACGUGUAAAAUUAACAAUUGCUGAUCUCAAAGGGACCAACCAGUCUUCUGUUGUGUCUCUGGAACAGAAGAAGGUUAAGUGCUCGCUUCGGCAGCACAUAUACUAAAAUUGGACCAAUACAGAGAAGAUGAGCAUGGCCCCUGCACAAGGACGACACACAAAUUCAUGACACGUUCCAUAUUUAAAA